Alligator mississippiensis (American alligator) is the source of this 1387-nucleotide long non-coding RNA. RefSeq lists it as uncharacterized. NCBI's taxonomy places the organism in Eukaryota, Metazoa, Chordata, Crocodylia, Alligatoridae. The transcript is spliced from 3 exons. The record is from RefSeq and is a predicted model, not a curated record.
AGGAAGUUGGCCAUGCCCCUUCCUGUCCCAAGCUGCUGCUGGUUGCUGCAAACUUGGUCUUAGGGGCUUCUGGGGAGAAGAUGGCCAGGUCCUUUCCUGCUUUUGGCUACUGCUAGUUGCUGGCUUGGUCUCAGAGAUUUUGGAACUACCUCCCUGCAUAUGAUCCUGCUUUGUUUUUGUGCCUGUUGCUCUGCUGCUGAGCACCUGGCUGGAGGCGUGAGGGGAUCCUGGAUAGAUCUUCAACAAACAAAACCCCUUCACCACUCCAGCCAUCUUUUACAUCUGCUUCAGCAACCUUCCCUAUGUGUUCUUGCCCUUGCAUGUGGUAUUGGAGGAUGCUUUCUUGUCAAGAAGUAUGAGGAAUAUACGUGUCAACGAAGGUUCUUUAUAUUUUGACAAACCUAUGGAAAGAAGAAGCAUAAAAGCUCAGUAGCAAAAUGAAACUUGAACUUUGACUAGGAAUGCAAAUUUGAUACUCCGCAUGAACAGACAUCUUGUUUGACUGGAAAUGAUUGUGCCUCCAAUUUCUUGUCAAACAUGUUAGUUUCUUGAUGUCAGAGAGUGCUGUUCCACUUCUGAUAUUUCAGCAUCAGUCUUUUGCUAUUACAAAGCUGGUGCCGUUGGCUGUCAAGACUUUACAGUUUCAAUUGGCAGACUUAUCUGUCUUCUGCAGGAUUAGACAGAAAUAUGUCUCAUUCAGAUGAUGCUCCAGCCUAAGGCUGCACCAGCCCCAGGAAAUUUGAGUACAUUAGCUUCAAAGAAACUGUCUGCAACCCCUUCUGACAGCAUACUGCAAAGUAUCCUCCAAUCCAUUCCUCAAGCUGUUUUCUCCAUCUCUUAAAUAUUUACUUUUUGGACUGCUUCAUGAUCUGUUUUGGCUCUAUUAAAACAGUUAAAUUUUGUAAAAGAAAGUGUUAAUCUAUCCUUUCUGAGCCAAUUAAUUUUGCAAUUAAUUUCAAGUAAUGGUGUUAUAAUAGAUAACUAAUGCAGGAUAAAAUAGUCCAAAGAGUUUUGCAGGAAAAAGAUUCAGAUAUGUCAAACUUAUUUUAUAAAAAUUUGUACCAAAAUUGAGAAUGCAUCUUGACAAGCUUACUUUCAAAACAAUCAACACAUGCUUUAUGUUGGGGUAAUGGCCCAGAGGGGUAAUGAGAAUACUGUCUCUCCAUUGGUUUUAUGAGUUUGACUUUCUUCAGGCGCAGGUUCUUCUGUUGAAAUGUUCUUAUGUUAAUACUGCAAAACAACUUCAAAAUAUAGUUGCCUUCAUUACUUUGUAUACAUGGAAUUAUGUUUGCUUGUUUAUAUGUACAUGCACCCACAACUGCACAUAUAUAGUCUUGAGUGAGCAUUUUAUAGUCUAGAAAACAACAUCUCACAUAACAAUCAUAGU